Molecule: non-coding RNA, 113 nt
Organism: Acanthosepion pharaonis
Lineage: Eukaryota; Metazoa; Mollusca; Cephalopoda; Sepiida; Sepiidae
Source: the annotation of a GenBank genome assembly
UAUGGCCAUAACAUAUUGAAGCACUGGUUCUCGUAUGAUCACUAAAGUUAAGUAAUAUCAAGCCUGGUCAAUACCUAGAUGGGUGACUGCUUGAGAAUACCAGGUACUGUAAG